RNAcentral lists this ribosomal RNA (462 nucleotides) under uncultured bacterium. Its description in RNAcentral is "partial 16S ribosomal RNA". It matches the Rfam family "Bacterial small subunit ribosomal RNA", at positions 28 to 507 of the family's 1533-position model. The record is from RNAcentral.
GACGAACGCUGGCGGCGUGCUUAACACAUGCAAGUCGAGCGGUAAGGCCUUUCGGGGUACACGAGCGGCGAACGGGUGAGUAACACGUGGGUGAUCUGCCCUGCACUUCGGGAUAAGCCUGGGAAACUGGGUCUAAUACCGGAUAUGACCUCCUAUCGCAUGGUGGGUGGUGGAAAGAUUUAUCGGUGCAGGAUGGGCCCGCGGCCUAUCAGCUUGUUGGUGGGGUAAUGGCCUACCAAGGCGACGACGGGUAGCCGACCUGAGAGGGUGACCGGCCACACUGGGACUGAGACACGGCCCAGACUCCUACGGGAGGCAGCAGUGGGGAAUAUUGCACAAUGGGCGAAAGCCCGAUGCAGCGACGCCGCGUGAGGGAUGACGGCCUUCGGGUUGUAAACCUCAUUCAGCAGGGACGAAGCGCAAGUGGCGGUACCUGCAGAAGAAGCACCGGCUAACUACGUG